This 786-nucleotide ribosomal RNA is filed under the name Triticum aestivum (bread wheat). Its description in RNAcentral is "partial small subunit ribosomal RNA". Lineage: Eukaryota; Viridiplantae; Streptophyta; Magnoliopsida; Poales; Poaceae. The record is from RNAcentral.
AUGAAAGAGAGCGAGGACGGCGGCCGCCGCCGCCGCUGCCGCAGGCCCCAAACCCACGCGAGUGACGAGGCCGUCGGAGUGACCCGCAGCCAUCCGCAGCUUCACGCGAGCGAGGAGGGAGCCGGAGUGGCUCGCCGCCGCUCCCGUUCCCAGAUCCGCGCGACUAGCGAGGGUGCUGAAGUGAUCUGCCGCCCCGGAGUCUUCCCGGCUGCGCUGGCCUCGCCGAUUGAAGACGACGACCUCCUGAGGGAGAUCCUCCUCCGUCUUCCGCCGCAGCCCUCCUCGCUCGUCCGGGCCUCCGCGGUCUGCAAGCAGUGGCGCUGCGCCGCCACCGACCCCAAGUUCCUCCACCGCUUCCGCCUCCACCACCAGAAGCCGCCCCUCCUCGGCCUCUUCCACCGCCGCAAGGAUGAUAUCGUCUUCACCCCCAUCAUGGACCGUCCCGACCGAAUCCCUCCAGAGCGUUUCGACCUGCAUCUCCUGGACAUGGACAGCCACACCAUGUGGAUGGUCGAACUGCUUGAUUGCCGCCAUGGCCGCGUCCUUCUCAUGGACACUCUGUGGGACGAGGUCAUCAUGUGCGAACCUAUCACCGGCGAGCAGCACCGCUUGGCCGUUCCGCCAGAGUUCGUAAGGAAUCGCUUCACCGGGGCUGUGCUCUGUGCUGCCAUCGACCAUGACCACGUGCACGGAAGCUGCCACUCGAGCCCAUUCAACGUGGUGCUGAUCUCCGCUCUCGGAGGGAAUAAUCAACCUAUCGCCUGUGUUUACUCCUCAGACUGGUGA